UCUCUCUCUCUGUGUCCCCCCCCCCAUUUAUUGUCUGAUCCUAUCAGUCAAGUUAAUAUAAAAGUAGCAAGUGGGAGGCCCAGCACCCUCUCUUCCGCGCGCCUAGGGCACUUUGGGGAGGUGUCGGCCGCUGCCAGGUUACCGGCGGGAGUGGUGGCCCUUGGUGCAGGGCACGCCGCCUGCGGAGGAGUUGGGGUCUGCGCUGGGUUGCAGGGCUUAUUCAAAUGCCGCCCGCUGCUGCUGUGAUUCGCAGGGACUCGGCCUCCAUAUGCCAGGUGCCCCCCAGAAACCGGCAAUUCUGCAACCAGUUGUGGAAUCCUGCAACUAGUCAUAAAAUGUGCUGAAAAUGUACUUUAGGAAACGUAAUCUUGCUAUAUAUGGCAAGG
Molecule: long non-coding RNA, 386 nt
Filed under: Equus caballus (horse)
Lineage: Eukaryota; Metazoa; Chordata; Mammalia; Perissodactyla; Equidae
Description: lncRNA (ENSECAG00000053362.1)
Source: RNAcentral